CUACGGGGGGCUCCAGUGGGGAAUAUUGGACAAUGGACCAAAAGUCUGAUCCAGCAAUUCUGUGUGUUUGAUGAAGGCCUUCGGGUUGUAAAGAACUUUAAGUAGGGAAGAAGAAAGUGACGGUACCUACAGAAUAAGCGACGGCUAAAUACGUGCCGAGCAGCCGCGGUAAUACGUAUGUCGCAAGCGUUAUCCGGAAUUAUUAGGCAUAAAGCGCGUCUAGGCGGUUUACUAAGUCUGAUGUGAAAAUGCGGGGCUCAACUCCGUAUUGCGUUGGAAACUGGUAGACUAGAGUAUUGGAGAGGUAGGCGGAACUACAAGUGUAGAGGUGAAAUUCGUAGAUAUUUGUAGGAAUGCCAAUGACGAAGGUAGCUUACUGGACAAAUACUGACGCUGAAGCGCGAAAGCUAGGGGAGCAAACAGGAUUAGAUACCCCGGUAGUC
This 443-nucleotide ribosomal RNA is filed under the name uncultured bacterium. Its description in RNAcentral is "partial 16S ribosomal RNA". It matches the Rfam family "Bacterial small subunit ribosomal RNA", at positions 339 to 795 of the family's 1533-position model. The record is from RNAcentral.